This 253-nucleotide ribosomal RNA is filed under the name uncultured bacterium. RNAcentral's name for it is "partial 16S ribosomal RNA". It matches the Rfam family "Bacterial small subunit ribosomal RNA", at positions 524 to 776 of the family's 1533-position model. The record is from RNAcentral.
UACAGAGGGUGCGAGCGUUAAUCGGAAUUACUGGGCGUAAAGCGCGCGUAGGCGGUUUUGUAAGUCGGGUGUGAAAUCCCCAGGCUCAACCUGGGAACUGCAUUCGAGACUGCAUAGCUAGAGUAUGGGAGAGGGAAGUGGAAUUUCAGGUGUAGCGGUGAAGUGCGUAGAUAUCUGAAGGAACAUCAGUGGCGAGAGCGACUUCCUGGACCAAUACUGACGCUCAUGUGUGAAAGCGUGGGGAGCAAACAGG